UUCAGAGUUUGGUAGGAGACUAUAUCUCUGGUCUGCUGCCUGCUCUCGAGUUCGCGUUUAAAGUUGCCUCGAGCCUGGUACACCACUGAAGACUAGGGUAGGGAAAGUAAGGGAUUUGUUGUUUUUAGUGUACUUUUGGUUUUGUGUUGUAGCAGGUCAGGUAAUCAUUUUGGGUUUGACUGUUGUGCUCUUUUGUGUUGGUCACAUGUUACUUUUUGUGUGUUCAGUGUGGCAACUUCAGAUCCUCAUGUAGGGGCAUCCAUGCUUAAAGAUGCCAACUUGCUUCAGAGGAACUUUUAAUUUGUUUAGGGGUCCUAGAGGAACCCUUUUAAGGGAGGAGGUGUUACGUCCCUCUGCAGCUUCUAAUCGUCUCAGUGUUUUCAGCUGGUGCUAAUUGGCCACACCUAGUCAGGUGUGGCCAAUUAGCACCAGCUGAAAACACUGAGACGAUUAGAAGCUGCAGAGGGACGUAACAUUCAGUAUUGAUAUUUGUAAAUGUAAACUAUGAGGAUUUAUUUAUUUUUAAUUCUUUUCUUUUUUUUUCUUUUUUUCCCUCUUUUUUUCUUUUUCCAAAUAAAUGUCCCGAUUGAGUAAUGAAACUAACCCAAAGGAGAAUUCUAACAAUAUUAGACAGGCCAUUCAAUAUGCUUUAUCGUGGACAACUCGUGGCUAAAAACCCACACACACACACACACACAAACCUCUAAUCAAACAUGAAAACGGAUAAUCCAGCUGAAGCUUCAGACAGCCGUCAGACAGUGAAACACUGCCAUCUGCUGGACUCGAAUAACAAAGACGCUGCUUUGACGGGUGAGGGAGUUUCAACAAGUCUGCAACGACUCAAGCAUCAAACUACAGAACUAUUCUAGCGGACAUGGUGCUCUAAUGACUGCUUCAUUAACGCAGGUCAGAAAGGAUCAAACAUAUCAAUAAAUUAUAAAACACAAAACGUCUCUUAUUGCCCAGGGCUCAGGAAGUGAGUGUGUUCCUUAUAGCCUAUUAAACCUUAGCAGGUUAUUUUGAUGUGUUACAGAUGAAACAGCUAUCCAGUAACAUUCAGCUACAAAAACGCUUUUUUAUAAUUACUUUUUUACAGCUUCGCACUUUUACACAAGUUUUAUCAUCAGUGUCACAAUGGCUGCUGCUAAAAUU
Molecule: long non-coding RNA, 1152 nt
Organism: Astatotilapia calliptera (eastern happy)
Lineage: Eukaryota; Metazoa; Chordata; Actinopteri; Cichliformes; Cichlidae
Source: Ensembl